This 1180-nucleotide long non-coding RNA is filed under the name Homo sapiens (human). RNAcentral describes it as "non-protein coding lnc-ATF5-2:1". Lineage: Eukaryota; Metazoa; Chordata; Mammalia; Primates; Hominidae. The record is from RNAcentral.
CCAGAAGCCAGAUGGUCCCGGGACAGGCCCAGCCCCAGAGCCCAGAGAUGCUGCUGCUGCCCCUGCUGCUGCCCGUGCUGGGGGCGGGGCGCCUGUAGUCCCAGCUACUCGGGAGGCUGAGGCAGAAGAAUCAUUUGAACCAGGAGGUGGAGGUUGCAGUGAGCCGAGAUCGCAUCACUGCACUCCAGCCUGGGCGACAGAGCAAGACUGUCUCAAAAACUAAAACAAAAAAACACCACCACCACCACCAAUGUCUGAUUAAAUCUAAGCCACGGUUCCAUUUUGGGGCAAGGGGCAGGGUGUGGGUGUGGUGGACAGAGAACGGGCUCCAGCCACCAUCAGCUGCACGUCCUGGUAGCACCUGAGCCAUUCCCAGUCUCCUGUGCUGGGAGAUCAUCAUCUAAUCCUGAUGAUGACGCCCUCCUCUCAGAGCUCGGGGGAUGAGCUGCCAAAACCCAUGGAGGUUCAAAACCCGGGCUCUGGAGACAGAAGACACUGGGCUCAGAGACAUGGGGCCACUGUCCAGGCUUUCCCUGGGCCUGGACCUGGGCUCCUUCCACUGUCUGAGCAGGGUCAGCCUGGGCUGGCUGUGCUGGUUCAAGAGAUGAGGGAGGAGGACACAGCGGUUGCCAGGACCCUGAGGCACUGGACUGGGCACUGCCCCAAGGGGCAGAGGAUGGAACCCGGUGUUGAUAUUGUGAUGCUGACCCGUCUGCUCACCUGAUUUGGGUGCUGAAGGGCAGCUGACCCCCCUAAUCUUUUAUAGACUUGUGAAACGAAAAUAAAUAAAAGUCAAGCUGGGAACAGCUUAGGGCAAACCUGCCUCCCAUUCUAUUCAAAGCCACCCCUCUGCUCACUGAGAUAGAUGCAUGUCUGAUCACCUCAGUUGGGAAAGGCUAAUCAGAAACUCCAAAGAAUGCAUCUGUUCAUCUCUCACCCAUCUGUGACCUGGAAGCCCCCUCCCCACUUCGAGUCUUCCUGCCUUUGCUUCAAGUUUUCCCGCCUUUCCAAAUGGAACCAAAGUACUUCUUACAUAUAGUGACUCAUGUCUCAAGUCUCCCUAAAACGUAUAAAACUAAGCUGUGCCCCAACCACGCUGACCAUGUCAUCAGGACCUCCUGAGGCUGUGUCACGGCCUGUGUCCUCAACCUUGGCAAAAUAAACUUUCUAAAUUAACUGG